UGGCUCAGGACGAACGCUGGCGGCGUGCUUAAUACAUGCAAGUCAACUUGACUUUAGAUAGCAAUAUCGAAAAGUAGGGUGGCGCACGGGUGCGUAACGCGUAGGUAAUCUGCCCUGAGGUCUGACAUAACCCGUCGAAAGGCGGGCUAACAUCAGAUGAUAUAUAAUCACGACAUCGUGGAAAUAUCAAAUCUUCGGAGCCUUGGGAUGAGCCUGCGUCUGAUUAGGUAGUUGGCGGAGUAAUAGCCCACCAAGCCUACGAUCAGUAGCUGGUCUGAGAGGAUGAUCAGCCACACUGGAACUGAGACACGGUCCAGACUCCUACGGGAGGCAGCAGUAAGGAAUAUUGCUCAAUGGGGGAAACCCUGAAGCAGCAACGCCGCGUGAAGGAUGAAAUACUUUGUAUGUAAACUUCUGUAAGAUGGGAAAAAUAUUCUCCUCGGGAGAAUUGAUUGUACCAUCAGAGUAAGCCCCGGCUAACUACGUG
This 487-nucleotide ribosomal RNA is filed under the name uncultured bacterium. RNAcentral describes it as "bacterial SSU rRNA". It matches the Rfam family "Bacterial small subunit ribosomal RNA", at positions 20 to 507 of the family's 1533-position model. The record is from RNAcentral.